GACGAACGCUGGCGGCGUGCUUAACACAUGCAAGUCGAACGGAAAGGCCCUGCUUUUGUGGGGUGCUCGAGUGGCGAACGGGGGAGUAACACGUGAGUAACAUGCCCUUGACUUUGGGAUAACUUCAGGAAACUGGGGCUAAUACCGGAUAGGAGCUCCUGCUGCAUGGUGGGGGUUGGAAAGUUUCGGCGGUUGGGGAUGGACUCGCGGCUUAUCAGCUUGUUGGUGGGGUAGUGGCUUACCAAGGCUUUGACGGGUAGCCGGCCUGAGAGGGUGACCGGCCACAUUGGGACUGAGAUACGGCCCAGACUCCUACGGGAGGCAGCAGUGGGGAAUAUUGCACAAUGGGCGGAAGCCUGAUGCAGCAACGCCGCGUGCGGGAUGACGGCCUUCGGGUUGUAAACCGCUUUCGCCUGUGACGAAGCGUGAGUGACGGUAAUGGGUAAAGAAGCACCGGCUAACUACGUG
This 468-nucleotide ribosomal RNA is filed under the name uncultured bacterium. Its description in RNAcentral is "partial 16S ribosomal RNA". It matches the Rfam family "Bacterial small subunit ribosomal RNA", at positions 28 to 507 of the family's 1533-position model. The record is from RNAcentral.